GGUGACGUUCCCGGCUGUGGGGUCUGAUGACCCGGGCCAGGCAAAGGACCCGCCCGAGCGGUAUAGGCCUGAGCCUCUGGGCACUGCGGCCGCGUCCGGCAGGGCUGCCACGGCAGUACAGGGCCUGCACAUCCGGGAGCUCACGCCCUCCUGCGCGUAGCCCGCUAGUGAGGUUCCGAAGGGCGGGGCCGGGCCGAACCGGAUAUGCCGGUUCUGGGGCUCAGGUGACAAACCCAGGCCUUCCGCCCCUCGCCUCUGGUGGGGAUCCGGCCCAACCCGGAGCUUCCUAGACUUGCUUCCAGGUGUCGAAGCCUCGAGUCCUCAAGAGGUCCAGCAAAAAGGCAAAGGACGCAGGAGGCUGUUCGGUAUUUCCAGUAAACUUACCCUAAGAAGCC
This is a long non-coding RNA of Homo sapiens (human), 395 nucleotides long. Ensembl annotates it as AFF4 divergent transcript. Its record names the gene AFF4-DT. The record is from Ensembl. Lineage: Eukaryota; Metazoa; Chordata; Mammalia; Primates; Hominidae.